RNAcentral lists this ribosomal RNA (1372 nucleotides) under uncultured bacterium. RNAcentral describes it as "bacterial SSU rRNA". It matches the Rfam family "Bacterial small subunit ribosomal RNA", at positions 28 to 1381 of the family's 1533-position model. The record is from RNAcentral.
GAUGAACGCUGGCGGCGUGCCUAAUACAUGCAAGUCGAGCGAACGGACGAGAAGCUUGCUUCUCUGAUGUUAGCGGCGGACGGGUGAGUAACACGUGGAUAACCUACCUAUAAGACUGGGAUAACUUCGGGAAACCGGAGCUAAUACCGGAUAAUAUUUUGAACCGCAUGGUUCAAAAGUGAAAGACGGUCUUGCUGUCACUUAUAGAUGGAUCCGCGCUGCAUUAGCUAGUUGGUAAGGUAACGGCUUACCAAGGCAACGAUGCAUAGCCGACCUGAGAGGGUGAUCGGCCACACUGGAACUGAGACACGGUCCAGACUCCUACGGGAGGCAGCAGUAGGGAAUCUUCCGCAAUGGGCGAAAGCCUGACGGAGCAACGCCGCGUGAGUGAUGAAGGUCUUCGGAUCGUAAAACUCUGUUAUUAGGGAAGAACAUAUGUGUAAGUAACUGUGCACAUCUUGACGGUACCUAAUCAGAAAGCCACGGCUAACUACGUGCCAGCAGCCGCGGUAAUACGUAGGUGGCAAGCGUUAUCCGGAAUUAUUGGGCGUAAAGCGCGCGUAGGCGGUUUUUUAAGUCUGAUGUGAAAGCCCACGGCUCAACCGUGGAGGGUCAUUGGAAACUGGAAAACUUGAGUGCAGAAGAGGAAAGUGGAAUUCCAUGUGUAGCGGUGAAAUGCGCAGAGAUAUGGAGGAACACCAGUGGCGAAGGCGACUUUCUGGUCUGUAACUGACGCUGAUGUGCGAAAGCGUGGGGAUCAAACAGGAUUAGAUACCCUGGUAGUCCACUCCGUAAACGAUGAGUGCUAAGUGUUAGGGGGUUUCCGCCCCUUAGUGCUGCAGCUAACGCAUUAAGCACUCCGCCUGGGGAGUACGACCGCAAGGUUGAAACUCAAAGGAAUUGACGGGGACCCGCACAAGCGGUGGAGCAUGUGGUUUAAUUCGAAGCAACGCGAAGAACCUUACCAAAUCUUGACAUCCUUUGACAACUCUAGAGAUAGAGCUUUCCCCUUCGGGGGACAAAGUGACAGGUGGUGCAUGGUUGUCGUCAGCUCGUGUCGUGAGAUGUUGGGUUAAGUCCCGCAACGAGCGCAACCCUUAAGCUUAGUUGCCAUCAUUAAGUUGGGCACUCUAAGUUGACUGCCGGUGACAAACCGGAGGAAGGUGGGGAUGACGUCAAAUCAUCAUGCCCCUUAUGAUUUGGGCUACACACGUGCUACAAUGGACAAUACAAAGGGCAGCGAAACCGCGAGGUCAAGCAAAUCCCAUAAAGUUGUUCUCAGUUCGGAUUGUAGUCUGCAACUCGACUACAUGAAGCUGGAAUCGCUAGUAAUCGUAGAUCAGCAUGCUACGGUGAAUACGUUCCCGGGUCU